RNAcentral lists this ribosomal RNA (99 nucleotides) under Lachnospiraceae bacterium. Its description in RNAcentral is "partial 23S ribosomal RNA". It matches the Rfam family "Bacterial large subunit ribosomal RNA", at positions 2826 to 2925 of the family's 2925-position model. The record is from RNAcentral. Lineage: Bacteria; Bacillati; Bacillota; Clostridia; Lachnospirales; Lachnospiraceae.
AAGUAAACCCCCUUGAAGACGACGAGGUAGAUAGGGCAGAGGUGGAAGUGCAGCAAUGCAUGGAGCUGACUGUUACUAAUCGGGUGAGGGCUUGACCAA